UACGUAGGGGGGCAAGCGUUGUCCGGAUUUAUUGGGCGUAAAGAGCGUGUAGGCGGCCAGACAGGUCCGUUGUGAAAACUCGAGGCUCAACCUCGAGAUGUCGAUGGAAACCGUCUGGCUAGAGUCCGGAAGAGGAGUGUGGAAUUCCUGGUGUAGCGGUGAAAUGCGCAGAUAUCAGGAGGAACACCGGUGGCGAAGGCGGGUCUCGUGGGCCGUAACUGACGCUGAGGAGCGAAAGCGUGGGGAGCGAACAGG
Molecule: ribosomal RNA, 255 nt
Filed under: uncultured bacterium
Lineage: Bacteria
Description: partial 16S ribosomal RNA
Rfam family: Bacterial small subunit ribosomal RNA
Source: RNAcentral